Molecule: ribosomal RNA, 248 nt
Filed under: Taenia multiceps
Lineage: Eukaryota; Metazoa; Platyhelminthes; Cestoda; Cyclophyllidea; Taeniidae
Description: partial small subunit ribosomal RNA
Source: RNAcentral
UGAUUCUUUUUAGGGGAAGGUGUGGUGUAAAGGAUGUUCCGCCUAUUAAUUUACUUUUAUUAUGUUGGUGUAUAUCUGGUUUAAUAUUAUUGUUGAAUAAUAUUAGUUUGUGUAAUUUUAUUAGUUAAGCCAAGUCUAUGUGCUGCUUAUAGAAGUAUUCAUGCGUUACUUUAAUAAAGUUUUAGUGUAAGUACUAUCAUAUUCAGGACGUGUUGACUCAGCGUCUCUCCUGCGGUACCUCCGAAUCG